This 428-nucleotide ribosomal RNA is filed under the name uncultured bacterium. RNAcentral describes it as "bacterial SSU rRNA". It matches the Rfam family "Bacterial small subunit ribosomal RNA", at positions 355 to 774 of the family's 1533-position model. The record is from RNAcentral.
UGGGGAAUUUUGCGCAAUGGGGGAAACCCUGACGCAGCAACGCCGCGUGGGUGAUGAAGGCCUUCGGGUCGUAAAGCUCUGUCUGGAGGGAAGAAAUGAUUGGGAGCUAAUACCUCUUGAUCUUGACGGUACCUCUGAAGGAAGCACCGGCUAACUCCGUGCCAGCAGCCGCGGUAAUACGGAGGGUGCAAGCGUUGUUCGGAAUUAUUGGGCGUAAAGCGCGUGUAGGCGGUCUUUUAAGUCUGAUGUGAAAGCCCCGGGCUCAACCUGGGAAGUGCAUUUGAAACUGGGAGGCUUGAGUACGGGAGAGGAGAGUGGAAUUCCUAGUGUAGGAGUGAAAUCCGUAGAUAUUAGGAGGAACACCGGUGGCGAAGGCGGCUCUCUGGACCGAUACUGACGCUGAGACGCGAAAGCGUGGGUAGCAAACA